RNAcentral lists this ribosomal RNA (498 nucleotides) under uncultured bacterium. Its description in RNAcentral is "partial 16S ribosomal RNA". It matches the Rfam family "Bacterial small subunit ribosomal RNA", at positions 28 to 507 of the family's 1533-position model. The record is from RNAcentral.
GACGAACGCUGGCGGCGUGCCUAAUACAUGCAAGUCGAGCGGACGGAUGGGAGCUUGCUCCCAGCCCGUCAGCGGCGGACGGGUGAGUAACACGUGGGCAACCUGCCUGUAAGACUGGGAUAACUCCGGGAAACCGGGGCUAAUACCGGAUAACUCUUUCCCUCACAUGAGGGAAAGCUGAAAGAUGGCAUCUCGCUAUCACUUACAGAUGGGCCCGCGGCGCAUUAGCUAGUUGGUGAGGUAACGGCUUACCAAGGCGACGAUGCGUAGCCGACCUGAGAGGGUGAUCGGCCACACUGGGACUGAGACACGGCCCAGACUCCUACGGGAGGCAGCAGUAGGGAAUCUUCCGCAAUGGACGAAAGUCUGACGGAGCAACGCCGCGUGAGUGAUGAAGGUGUUCGGAUCGUAAAACUCUGUUGUCAGGGAAGAACAAGUACCGGAGUAACUGCCGGUACCUUGACGGUACCUGACCAGAAAGCCACGGCUAACUACGUG